AAAGAUGGUUAAUAAAAUUUUACUUUGACAUAUUCUACGUAGCAGUGUUGGUGCAGACCAUACACACCCACCGCAGAACAAACAGCAGUUCCUGUUAUGUAAGCGAAUACAUUUACUAUCAACAACAGACAUGUCUGUGUAACAUUAGGCUACUGGUUGGUCAUUAAAUAACAUGUAAAACUAAAUCCAGUGAUCUGCGAGUAAGAAAAACUAUCAUCGAAAUGAAGUAGAGAAACAGAAGUAGCAAAACAUUUGAACGCAAUGUGAUCACGUGAUCUACCGGAAUGGGUGCAGCUCAGCGACUCUCGAGUCUCGAAAUAGCACACACACACACAGAGAGAGACGCCCAGUCGCAGGAUCUACAGUUCAGUCGCUUUUCGGUGGCUUACAACUGAAGUUUAAUCAAACUUAUUAUUAAACUUCAGUUGUUUGCUGUGAUUGUCGUUAUCACACUCACUGAGCUGAACAACACGAAAUGAGAGCGAACAUGGUGCCCUUCCUGGCUUUGCUGUUUCUCUGUCAACGGAUUUCUGCCACCGAAGAUCUGAAAAUUAUUACAGCUGAGUCUGGACAAAAGAAGGUCACUCUGACAUGUCGAGCUCCAAACAACAACAAGAACCUGAUAGGUGUGGAGUGGAGUAGAGCUGACCUGAAAGAAGAAUAUGUCCUCUUGUAUCGGGAUGAGCAGUUUGUCCCAGAUUACCAGCAUCCAUCUUUUAAGAACCGUGUGGAUCUGAAUGACACACAGAUGAAGGAUGGAGACGUGUCUUUGAUUCUGAAGGAUGUGAUUACUGAUGAUGAUGGAAUAUACGUGUGUCGUGUCCUCAUCCCAGGAACAAAGCGCGGAAAGAGAGCUGCUGAAACUGUCAGGAGCAUCAGACUGAUUGUUGAUCCUCCAGGUCAGACAGGAGGAGACACAGAGGAUGGAGGGAAGGAGGAUGGAGGGAAGGAGGAUGGAUCUGUUGGACUAAUAGUUGGUCUGUCAGUUGCUGCUGUCCUCAUUGUUGCCACUGUUGCUGGUUUUUUGAUUUACAGAAAAAAAAAGAGUCAGAGUCCAUACCAGCUUCCAGCUGAGCUGGAGUCUAUUUGAAAUGUUUCAAAGCUUUUUUCCAUCUUAACUGUGAGUCCUCUGUUGCUGUUCCAAAGCUUCAGUGGAGACAUGGAAAUAUGAUCUAGCUCCCGAAUCUGGGCCCUGCACUCUGAAGAGAGUUCAAUUAACACAAGGGUACCUUUUCGUCAUCUGCAUUAAUUUACGCUAACAUUGGCAAUGAGGAUGACCAGGUUCACAUGAAAGGAGUAGCAUGGGCGAUAUCUCACCAUCGCAUUGAUCAUUGUAGCUGAUUGGCUGAUUUCAAUAUUUUUUUGUUUUGUUUUCUAAACUAUUAGAAAAAUAUGAAGAGGUAACACAUAAAACAGAAAAGUAGCACAGCUGCUGCAAACAAGACAGUAGAAGGAGUUGAAAAGCAGUGCAUUUCAUUAGAUUUCAUAUUUAAUAUUAAAAGCACUUUGUAUGUGUAAGCUUUAACAGUAUUGGUCAGUAAGACUGACCCUUAAAGGCAGGAACAAAAGACAGGAAAAUGGUGAGUGUGUGUGAGCAAGUGGGAUUCAAAUGUAGUUUUAGUCUACUAGCAGGCAUUGGAAAGCCCAGAAGCACAAAAUGUUUGCAGCCAGAAGGUUAGAAUAAUUUUUUAUGAUUACAUUUACAAAAAAAAAAAAAAAAAAAAAAAAAAAAAGCUGCAUCGAAGAAUCUGUAUAUAUUGCUGAUGCUCAUUGCGGAAACACAGACUUGUGAAACCUCCACUUGCACAGGUCAGAGGGAUCCUCCAGGAAUGAUGAUGGUAAUUUCUGAAGACUUAUUAAUCAGAAGCCAGUGAUUUCAUCCCUGCUGAUAUCUGGAUCUUAACCUGAUCCGCAGGUAUGAAAUCACUGCUUUCUGAGCAAUCAAUUCUCUAUGAAAUAACAUCACCGUUUCUGGAGGACCCCUCUAAUCUCUGCACAGGGACUAGGAGAAAUUUAUCUAGUGUUUGUUUUUCUGAUGAGCAUCAGUAAUAAAUACACAUUUUUAGAUGCAGCUAUUCAUUUUUCCCCCCCAGAUUAAUGAUGUACCAGUAAGACGUGAACCACUUUUUUAGUAUAGAAAAAAACAGGUUUAAUCAUAAAGUUACCUGGAUAGCACAAAAUUCUGCUUCUGCUAUGUAGAAUAAAGCCGUUAUAAAGUGCGCUUCAUGAAAUUUUACCAACUACCUAAUCGUCCUGAUCUGAAAACAAACAGCAGAGGUGAUAAAAAAUGAAAAUGAAUUGGAUUUUGGAUCCAUGGAUCUAAGCAUUUCCAUACUACUGGUGCAAUAAAGUGUGUGUUAGGCAAAAAAUGAAAUGAAAAAUAAAUAAAUAUAAUAAAAACUUACACAAAUUAGAUAUAAAUUAAAAAAAUAAACAGUAAAAUAUAUCAACAUAAUCAUGCAUCAGCCUGAACGAUGCAAUUCAUCACUUUGUGUGAGGAGCUGAAAAUCCACUAGAGAUCCACGGAUGUGAUGUUUGAAUCAGAGAGUUGUCUGAUAAUGACCCAGAAACCUGGAUCUGUGACACUGAGUCAAUUAGAAUACAAUAGCCCUUUGUUGUCAUUGUACAAUUAAAUUGUAAGUGUUCCACGCCAACUGGGAAUAAAAUAUAAAUGCUAAUAGGAAGGAAUAAAUUACAAACAAGAGAAAUAUACAUAAAACAAUUAUUUUCUUUUAAAUAUAAAUGCCAUGUUUGAAGCUAAAGCAGGUUUCUCAGCUAAACAUACUAUACAACGUUCUGACUCUUUGACAUUCUGGACAUUAUUUAGCAGUGGCUCACAGUUAUUCAUAACUUUCACUGGGUUAUCCCCCUCUGUCUCAAAAGUUUACACAUACCACCUAUGCUUAUGCUUAUGCUAUGCUUAAAAACCAUAAAAAUAAUAAAUAUUAUUUAAAAAGUAACAUGUAUUGAAAUUAAAACUAAAAUAAAUUAAAAACAAUAACCCAAAGUACUGAGAUCCCUUUGAGAUAUGGGAUAGGCUCCACGUGCUCUUUCUUUCUUUUUUUUAUGGUUGUUCAUAUAUUUCAUGUUCAUUGGCUGUCUUUGUAGAUGUUAUCUUGGAUAAUGGAGAAGAUUAGCAAAAGUGCAUCCUGAUUUUAAAAAAAAAAUCCAAUAUCCAUCUUCCUUCUUCCACUUGUCCAAGUCAGUGAUGCUCAGGGGUUGGAGUUUUUUUUAGGUACUAUGCUUGUACCUAUAUUUUGGUUCAUUGGCUGUCUCUGUAGAUGUUAUCAUAAAUAAUGGAGGAGAUUAGCAAUCUUUUUUUUCUUUUCUUUUUUAAAAUCAGUCUUCUUCCAACCCUCCCUCAGGGUUGUGAGAGAAGGGGCGUGGAGCCUAUCCCAGCUGUCAUAGGGCAGGAGGCUCAAAUGCACAUUGUUUCAGUAACAGUGCACCACUUUGCUGGCUGAUUAAAGAAAAUAACAUUGGCUUAAACCAAAUAAGGAUGAAGCAAGGACUUUUGGCAGACAAUGAAAGAUUUGUGAACAUCUGCUACAGCCUGAAAAUUUAAUGUAGCUUGUUCCAGAUUUGUUUAAAAUAUAAAUUUCCCCCAUUAAGACUGAAUAGGAUUAAUGUAAAAUGAAUAAAGUAUCCUGCUUAUUUUUGACUUCUAUCCUGCAAAAGAAAACCACAAUAAAUAAAUAAAUAAAUAAUAAUAUAACACAGUUUCUGAUAUUUGUUGUCUGUUUUCCUGCUUGGGUUCUUUACUUUAGAAGUGAAUUUGACAUGUUCAACAUGUUCAUGCAGGUCUGAGAGAGAGAAGCUGCAGCACUGAAGGUUCAAAGAUGGUUGAUCCCCCCCCCCGCCCCCAGACACAUUUCAAUCUAAAGCAUCUGUUUAUACCUGACAUGAAAGCAGUCAUAAAGGAAGCUUCCUAUCAGUUAUCGGGCCUUCAUCAGGGUCCAUGAUGAAGGCCACAAGACAAAACGCAUUGGCUUGGUAGAAUGUGAGUGUGAGUUAAUACCUCAGAACGACAAAGUGGAGUUUAACCUUGACUGUGUGUCUGUACAAAACACAGACUAUGAGGGCUUCAGUCCACAGACGGAGACAUUAGCAGCAGACCAGGUGGAGGCUCAGCAGCCUGUUUAUGGUCACAGGUGAUGUGAUGUCCUUCACAGCAGAGCAGAUAUAGAAAAACAGCUUUGAACACGUUCCUGGAUUCAUCUGCAGCAGGAGCUGAAGCUGGCUGGGCUGUUACUGUGGGAGCUGGAAUUCAAAGAACUGAGAAACACGUGUCCUGUACAUGUUACUGUUAAUCUGGAUAAUUUUCAUUUAUAUAAUUGGUGUCAGAGGUCACAGUGAACACCUCCAUGUGUUGUUGGUCUGACAGAAUCUCCUGUGCUGCCACCUGCUGGUGAUGAACCAUCAGAGGGCUUCAUACACCAAUCACUAUAAGCAUGUUUUUCAAUUAUAACCUUAAUGACGUAAACUACACAGACACACAAAACAGAAAAACAAAACAAAAAACAAAAAACCUACAUGAAUAAACAGGGUCUGAAAGAUGUCAAGGACUUUUUACUGAAUGGAAACUUAUUACUAUUCACAUCGUGUGAACAGAAUCUGAAGCUCGGAUCAGACGAGUUACUGAAAAGCUGUUGUACUCUAAAAGCCAACAAUGGGACACAGAUGUAUCUUUCUUUUUCAACAGUGGGUUUCCUAUGAGCUUCUAUGACGUAUUUGUCACGUAUUUUGUCUCCGUGAUACUGCAGGCUGACUCAGAGGUGACGUGAACUCAUACGUUUGAUGUCACACAUAUUUGCUUCAGGUGAUGCUGCCUCAGUAACUAAGUAGACUCAAUAACAGAUCCAAGAUGAACAUGAUUUCUUAUCAGAAAAAGGAUAUGAG
Long non-coding RNA from Oreochromis aureus, 4899 nucleotides. Lineage: Eukaryota; Metazoa; Chordata; Actinopteri; Cichliformes; Cichlidae. The record is from Ensembl.